Molecule: microRNA precursor, 79 nt
Filed under: Manihot esculenta (cassava)
Lineage: Eukaryota; Viridiplantae; Streptophyta; Magnoliopsida; Malpighiales; Euphorbiaceae
Description: mir-166 microRNA precursor family
Rfam family: mir-166 microRNA precursor family
About the family: This family represents the plant microRNA (miRNA) precursor mir-166. Animal miRNAs are transcribed as ~70nt precursors and subsequently processed by the Dicer enzyme to give a ~22nt product. In plants the precursor sequences may be longer, and the carpel factory (caf) enzyme appears to be involved in processing.
Source: Rfam by way of RNAcentral
UUUGAGGGGAAUGUUGUCUGGUUCAAGGUCAUAUGAUGCUUUAUAGUUUCUCCUCGGACCAGGCUUCAUUCCCCUCAAU